CCCAUCGCUGCCGACGACGCCUUGUCGGUUCGUUUUUGCUUUAAUAGUUUACCUAAAGUCAGGCCCCAAGGACUGAAACAACGCACUCCAAGUCGCGCGCACCACGCAGAGGAGGUGCGUGAGGGUCUAGCUUUUUAGGUUUUCUUGGACGUAGGCAGGUCGUCUAAUUAGGUCCGCCUCAUGAUGAGGCACCCGAGCUGGUCAGUGUCCUCUCUAACUGAACAUUUAGUGAGCUUCUACUACUAGCUUGGUUGUUCGUUUAAAUAAUUGCUUUGGUGGAUUGGUCAAACCGGUGAUGAGAGAGAGAGAGAGAGAGAGAGAGAGAAAGGGUGGCAACGGUAAGGGUGCGAUUCGUAGGUCAUGCAUGCAGCAGGAGUUGCGAAAGCCAGCGUGGCAGUGGAAGAAGAUCGAGAUCGAGAUCGAUUUCGAAGGAGGGGGGCCUACCACGCGCUUGGUGUAGUAGGAGGUGAUGCAUGUGUUGAAUAUAUAGUGGUAGUUGUAGUUGUAGACGUCAGAUAGGGAGGUAGAGGCAUGGCGCUUCUUGGGAAGACGAAAAAGAAAUGGUCUUCUAUUUAUUAGAUAGAGUAGAACCAGCUAUUCAUUAUUCAAUGGUUUGUACUGUUGUCGAAAAGUAGUUGGAAACUACAUGUUACCUGCACGCACGUGUUAGCGCAAACAACUAAAGAGCAGCACACUCUUCUUAUACAGCAAACCACCUCUUUUCUUUUUUACCGCCGGGUUUGCUUGCUUGUGGAGCUAUCGUUCAAGUUUCUGGCCCCUGUUCCGCGCAUGCAUUCGAAAAGCAGGACGAGACGAGACCCUGCACCUGUGCAUACCACCCAAAGGCGACCUACGGAGCGCCCUCACGCACCGUCCGGGGCGGCCACUGCCGCUGUUCGUGCUCGUGCGCGUGGCCUCUCUGGCUGCCUCUCGUGCGCGCGCAGUGGCCGGCAGCGGCGCGCCGAAGCCCCUCUCCUAGGUCACGACCGGCACCCCGGCCUGCCACUCGGGGAACUGGGACCGCUUGUCGCAGUGCCGCGCGGCCUGCGGCGCCAGCAGCCGCCGGCACUUCAUCAGCACCGGCUUGUACUGCGGCGGCCCCGCGUCGUGCCGGGUCCGGUCCAACUACAGCCGGGUGCGGCUCACCUUCAGCACCGGGCGCAGGUGGAGCUACUCCAGGCGCAUGUGCGGGGUGGCCGUGUCGCGGGGCUCGCACCUGCGGCACCUCUUCCCGUCGCCGUCGUGGCGCCGGCGCCGGAGCCCGGGGCGGCGGUCGUGCAACCGGUACUUGACGCCGUCGUCGUCGCGCAGCGGCACGGCGACGACGCCCUGCAGCGCCGCCUUCGCCGGCGCCUUCCGGCCGGUCGGCGCCUUCAGCAGCUGCGUCUCCUACCGGCCCCUGUCGCUGUCCAAGGCCCGGUGCCGGCGGUACACGUCGCGGCUCCGCGGGUCCUUUCGCGGGUCGAGGUGCUAGUGCAGCCCCGCGUGGAGGAGCUACUCCAGGCGCUUGUGGCGGGGGCAGCUGGGGGUGGGCGCCCCGGCGCGGCGGCGGCCCACGUCGUCGCGCCGGCACACGCGGCCGCCCUUCGAGCGCAUGCCCGAGAGCGGCAGCUUGUCGAACAGUUCUUCGCAGAAGUGGUGCAGGUGGCGGCCGUGGCCGAGGGGCGUGAAUAGGGGCUUGGCCUUGUCCAGCACGCCGCCGCUGGCGCCCAUCCGGCGCGGGCACGGGCACGGCAAGCUGCUGCGGCACUGCGGCGAGCUCCUACGGCGCCACUCCACGCGCCGCACGCCGGCAUACUGGCAGACGCUGCCGAACCCGCACCUGCCCGCCCACCUGCUGCUCUGCUACGGCUCGCUCAUAGGCUGCCUCUUCUGUUAGUCCUUCCGACACUGGGCUCCUUCCACGCCCGCCUCGGAGCGGCCGUGUGGCCGGCGGCGGCGGCCUUCGGGUGCGCCGAAGUACUAGUGCGUGGCCGUGCGUGCGCGUGGAAGGACGACAUCCGAGCAUAAGAAUUGGCCCUUUUAGAGUUGAAAGAUAAGGCACCCUCUAGUCCUAGGACCUCCAACCAAGCCCUGCAGCGUAAAUAUCUACCUAUCUAUCGCCCUCGGCUCCCCGGCAAUCGAACUGCGGAACACGAGGGGAACAAAGCCCCCUUCUCUCUACUCUAGUCUAUACUAUACGUGCUUGCUUUGCUCUCUACCCCUCUUUCAAAACUAGAAAACACACACAACCACUCCCCACUGACGAGACGAGACGAAACUGCCCAACCACUCCACACCCACCACUUAGACUAGUGCCAAUCAAAUC
This 2308-nucleotide ribosomal RNA is filed under the name Triticum aestivum (bread wheat). RNAcentral's name for it is "partial small subunit ribosomal RNA". Lineage: Eukaryota; Viridiplantae; Streptophyta; Magnoliopsida; Poales; Poaceae. The record is from RNAcentral.